RNAcentral lists this ribosomal RNA (253 nucleotides) under uncultured bacterium. Its description in RNAcentral is "partial 16S ribosomal RNA". It matches the Rfam family "Bacterial small subunit ribosomal RNA", at positions 524 to 776 of the family's 1533-position model. The record is from RNAcentral.
UACGUAGGUGGCAAGCGUUAUCCGGAUUUACUGGGUGUAAAGGGCGAGUAGGCGGGAUUGCAAGUCAGAUGUGAAAACUAUGGGCUCAACCGAUAGAGUGCAUUUGAAACUGCAGUUCUUGAGUGAUGGAGAGGCGGGCGGAAUUCCCGGUGUAGCGGUGGAAUGCGUAGAUAUCGGGAGGAACACCAGUGGCGAAGGCGGCCUGCUGGACAUUAACUGACGCUGAGGCACGAAAGCGUGGGUAGCAAACAGG